GACGAACGCUGGCGGCGUGCUUAACACAUGCAAGUCGAGCGGUAAGGCCCCUUCGGGGGUACACGAGCGGCGAACGGGUGAGUAACACGUGGGUGACCUGCCCUCAGCUCUGGGAUAAGCCUGGGAAACUGGGUCUAAUACCGGAUAUGACUCCAUGACGCAUGUCGUGGGGUGGAAAGCCUUGUGCGGCUGGGGAUGGGCCCGCGGCCUAUCAGCUUGUUGGUGGGGUGANGGCCUACCAAGGCGACGACGGGUAGCCGGCCUGAGAGGGCGACCGGCCACACUGGGACUGAGACACGGCCCAGACUCCUACGGGAGGCAGCAGUGGGGAAUCUUGCGCAAUGGACGAAAGUCUGACGCAGCAACGCCGCGUGAGGGAUGACGGCCU
This 388-nucleotide ribosomal RNA is filed under the name uncultured bacterium. RNAcentral's name for it is "bacterial SSU rRNA". It matches the Rfam family "Bacterial small subunit ribosomal RNA", at positions 28 to 417 of the family's 1533-position model. The record is from RNAcentral.